GACGAACGCUGGCGGCGUGCCUAAUACAUGCAAGUUGAGCGCUGAAGGUUGGUACUUGUACCAACUGGAUGAGCAGCGAACGGGUGAGUAACGCGUGGGGAAUCUGCCUUUGAGCAGGGGACAACAUUUGGAAACGAAUGCUAAUACCGCAUAAAAACUUUAAACACAAGUUUUAAGUUUGAAAGAUGCAAUUGCAUCACUCAAAGAUGAUCCCGCGUUGUAUUAGCUAGUUGGUGAGGUAAAGGCUCACCAAGGCGAUGAUACAUAGCCGACCUGAGAGGGUGAUCGGCCACAUUGGGACUGAGACACGGCCCAAACUCCUACGGGAGGCAGCAGUAGGGAAUCUUAGGCAAUAGACGAAAGUCUGACCGAGAAACGCCGCGUGAGUGAAGAAGGUUUUCGGAUCGUAAAACUCUGUUGGUAGAGAAGAACGUUGGUGAGAGUGGAAAGCUCACCAAGUGACGGUAACUACCCAGAAAGGGACGGCUAACUACGUG
RNAcentral lists this ribosomal RNA (497 nucleotides) under uncultured bacterium. RNAcentral describes it as "partial 16S ribosomal RNA". It matches the Rfam family "Bacterial small subunit ribosomal RNA", at positions 28 to 507 of the family's 1533-position model. The record is from RNAcentral.